This 559-nucleotide ribosomal RNA is filed under the name uncultured bacterium. RNAcentral's name for it is "bacterial SSU rRNA". It matches the Rfam family "Bacterial small subunit ribosomal RNA", at positions 337 to 916 of the family's 1533-position model. The record is from RNAcentral.
UCCUACGGGAGGCAGCAGUGGGGAAUCUUGCACAAUGGAGGAAACUCUGAUGCAGCGAUGCCGCGUGAGUGAAGAAGGCCCUUGGGUUGUAAAGCUCUUUCGUCGGGGAAGAAAAUGACUGUACCCGAAUAAGAAGGUCCGGCUAACUUCGUGCCAGCAGCCGCGGUAAUACGAAGGGACCUAGCGUAGUUCGGAAUUACUGGGCUUAAAGAGUUCGUAGGUGGUUGAAAAAGUUAGUGGUGAAAUCCCAGAGCUUAACUCUGGAACUGCCAUUAAAACUUUUCAGCUAGAGUAUGAUAGAGGAAAGCAGAAUUUCUAGUGUAGAGGUGAAAUUCGUAGAUAUUAGAAAGAAUACCAAUUGCGAAGGCAGCUUUCUGGAUCAUUACUGACACUGAGGAACGAAAGCAUGGGUAGCGAAGAGGAUUAGAUACCCUCGUAGUCCAUGCCGUAAACGAUGUGUGUUAGACGUUGGAAAUUUAUUUUCAGUGUCGCAGCGAAAGCGAUAAACACACCGCCUGGGGAGUACGACCGCAAGGUUAAAACUCAAAUGAAUUGACGG